This 214-nucleotide long non-coding RNA is filed under the name Nicotiana benthamiana. Its description in RNAcentral is "long non-coding RNA (NBEN_LNC005821)". The record is from RNAcentral. Lineage: Eukaryota; Viridiplantae; Streptophyta; Magnoliopsida; Solanales; Solanaceae.
CGAUUGUCAAACUUGGUAAUCGAUUGUUUAUCAUAUUUAUGACCUGACAAGAAUCGAUUGUAGAGCCAAAACGGUAACAUAAGUUUAAAAUAGAUAAUCGAUUGUCAAUAUAUAACAAUUAAUAUUGACUCAAUUAUAACAUUUCUAAACUUUGUCUUGAGCUUCUUGUAAUGCAUCCAUUUUGUGCUUGUCCUUGAGUACUGCUAUAUAUCGC